UUCAGUGUAAGAUAAGCAGCUGGUUUGAUAAUUUGAGGUCAUUUAUGAACCUUGAUCAGUAUUUCCAGCCCUGUGACUUCAGAUACACAGAUGGAAAUUCCAGCCCCUUUUUUGGUUAGAUGAAGCUAUGGGGCCAAUUCUGGCUAGUAGCAUGAGAGGGUUGGUACCGUUUAUAAGACUUCCCUCCUCUCUUGGGGAUGAUGCAUUACUGAGCCUGGGUCACUGGUGGUGUUCUGAGUUACUGAUUGCCUCUGAGAUAUGCAGCAUGGACGAUAAACCCUCAUUUUGACUACUGGGAUUUUCGGGUUAUUACCUCAGUACAAGUUAUGUCUGUCUUUUUCUUUUUCAUGGUGUUGGGAAUCAAACACAGGAACUUAUAUAUGCCAUUAGGUGUGUGCUUUGCCACUGACCUAAGCCGUGUCCCAACCUAGCCGAUGCUGGCUUGAUUUAUUCAGGUCACCUGUUUCUCUAAUAGGUACUUAAGAAUGGGACCUUAAAGCAAAUGAGAGCUUCAAUGAAUGAUAAGUUAGAUUGUAGACCAGCCUAUUCUAGACGUGGCAUCCCUAAGAACUAUGCCAGUAAAAGGCGGAUCAACAUUAGCUUUAGAGAAUGUGAGAGAACCCUGACGGCAUAAUGGAAAUGUGUAGGGGCUGUCGAGGGUGGGAAAUGCACUUUCCCUGUGGCGUCAGAAAAGCUUUAGUGGUCUCUACCAAACUCUUUGUCUCAGCCAAACAGCCACAUAGCUGGGGUCCUGUUUGGUCAGGAAGGAGUUUCCAUUACACGUGAUGACAAGAAGCCAAGGCAGGAUGGGCCACUUGCCUGUGCUUCAUGGCCUCCUAAGGGGUGGGGUGCACAUGACCUGUGUGCCCAAGCCUGUGGUGGUGACACAAACAAGUGAUUGUGGACAGUGUCUGUGACAUCAGGAGAAGUAAGCAUGCCUGAUGCUAUCUCAGUACCAUUGAGUGUCAAAGCAAUGGUUUCUAGCUUCCUGUGAAGAACACUAGCUAAACCACAACAUCUGCUUCCUGCACUGCCCUUGCCAGGUCAUCGUUUGCUGGUGAAGGCCAUGGAGAUUAGACACUUUCUACCUCCCUCCCCUUUCUAUGAAACCCGCUGUUUAGGGAGAAGCCUUGUUUUUAAUUGGCCAGGGAGGCUAGUAAGAGCCUCUAGUUUUCUGCUUGUGUUAUGAUUUUGUGACAGGGUGAAGUCAAUCCUGGAGCAGUUACAACUCUCCAGAACUGUCAGUAACUCAGAGACUUCAACUCUGAUUAAAACUCAUGACUAGAAAAAAUUACCAUAAUUCAGUGACAGACAUGGAGAGAAAGCCAUGAUGAUCCUGACAACAGUGCCAGGGAAGAGGCCAGUGAGAGCUUUACUUCAGCAUCAGCAAGUCUCCUCAGGAUUACCACAGAGAACCAUCUUCUCGUGAAUGAAUGCCAGCCACCUUGCUGAGGAAGAGGGACCAGGAAUUUGUGUGCACCAUGAGUAUACCACAGUAGUCAGAAGAAGGCAGCAGAUCUCCUGGAAGGUGGUGAGACAUCAUGUGGGCACUGGGAACUGAGUCCAGGGCCUCUGUGGGAUCAGAAAGAGCUCUUAAUUGCUGAGCCAUCUCUACAGCCCCAACAUGCAUACAUUUUUUGAAAUGGCUAGGAGGAUGUACACCAGAAUAUCACUUGGUUAGUCUUUAGUGUGUAUGAGCAAUUUUUAAAUUUAUUCUUUCUGUUUCAAACUGUUACUGAGAAUGACAACUCUUAUAAUAAAAAUAAAAGGAGAUUGAAACUAUGAAA
Molecule: long non-coding RNA, 1787 nt
Organism: Mesocricetus auratus (golden hamster)
Lineage: Eukaryota; Metazoa; Chordata; Mammalia; Rodentia; Cricetidae
Exons: 2
Source: RefSeq, a predicted model, not a curated record